GACGAACGCUGGCGGCGUGCUUAACACAUGCAAGUCGAACGGACAGGCCCUGCUUUUGUGGGGUGCUCGAGUGGCGCACGGGUGAGUAACACGUGAGUAACCUGCCCUUGACUUUGGGAUAACUUCAGGAAACUGGGGCUAAUACCGGAUAGGAGCUCCUGCUGCAUGGUGGGGGUUGGAAAGUUUCGGCGGUUGGGGAUGGACUCGCGGCUUAUCAGCUUGUUGGUGGGGUAGUGGCUUACCAAGGCUUUGACGGAUAGCCGGCCUGAGAGGUUGACCGGCCACAUUGGGACUGAGAUACGGCCCAGACGCCUACGGGAGGCAGCAGUGGGGAAUAUUGCACAAUGGGCGGAAGCCUGAUGCAGCAACGCCGCGUGCGGGAUGACGGCCUUCGGGUUGUAAACCGCUUUCGCCUGUGACGAAGCGUGAGUGACGGUAAUGGGUAAAGAAGCACCGGCUAACUACGUG
This 468-nucleotide ribosomal RNA is filed under the name uncultured bacterium. RNAcentral's name for it is "partial 16S ribosomal RNA". It matches the Rfam family "Bacterial small subunit ribosomal RNA", at positions 28 to 507 of the family's 1533-position model. The record is from RNAcentral.